UACUUCUGUAAUGUUGAGGUAUAGUCCCUGGACCCAUUAUGUUCCUCUGUAAUGUUGAUGUGGAAAUUAAAUAACUGGAAUGUACCUCAGCAUUACAGUCAUAGAAGUAAUAUCAUGUAAGGUGACAACCAUAUAUUGUUUACAGUAGUUACCCCGUGUAGACGUGUGAGAAAACUUAAGCCACCCCUGGUUGCUGCAGGUGGCCCUGUGGAAAUUCUUUAAUUUCCGAAGCUAUAGUGCCUAAUAAGUGUUUAAUGUGUUGAUUUGGGUCAAAAUGUAUUUGUAUUUUGAAUGGAACCAACUGGGUUCCCGCUGCGCCUGCGCAGAUGUGCGGGGGGGGGGUAUAGGUCGAGCUGGUGCACAGGGUGGCAGCAGUGUUUUAAAUGUAGUGAGGAGGCUGGGAAACAUGGGAUCAGGAAAUUGGCGUUCACGGCGGCCUAAGGAUUAAUAUAGGCCUCACUUCCUAAUAGGAAGUGUCGUAAUUGUUCCUGGUGAAGAGUGAGGGAACAAGAUUUACGUGACCACCGUGAUAAAGUGGAAAAGUUACGACACUUCUUAUUAUGAAAUGGGACCAGUAAUCAUAUUUCGACCAUCAGAACCGCCAAUUUCCUGGUUCCAUGUUAACUAGCACACUCUCCCAGGCUUAUACCCUCAACAAGACCCCCGAUGCCCACCUCAGCCUCCCCUCUGCCCAUCAGCGCAGGCGCAGAGGUUCCCUAGGGCGGUAUGGGCGUGUGGGCGGCGGCCGGUAUGGGCGUGUCACUGAUCGGUGUGAUGGUGGUGGUGACGGUGGUGGUGGUGAGGCGACUCAGGGCAUCACACAAGGCACAACCAUACAAGGGAUACCAGGUGGUCACCACUCAGCCCGUGAGUUCAACCCUGUGUUCUGCCGUUUUGUCCACUGGGCGCUUCUAAACCCGUAUGGAUCGUACAGCACAUCACCGGAGGCGGGCCAGUAAUCAGGUGUGUUCUGAGGAACGGAAAGGUACCUCUUAAUUACUUGUGGCCAAGAGACCUCUCUUAUGGGGAUCACGGAAGUGAAGGUAAGAAUCAUCUUCCUCGAAUCAAAUGUGAUUAUCCCCAAUUUCCCAGAAGCUGUAUG
Cherax quadricarinatus is the source of this 1102-nucleotide non-coding RNA. The record is from RefSeq and is a predicted model, not a curated record. NCBI's taxonomy places the organism in Eukaryota, Metazoa, Arthropoda, Malacostraca, Decapoda, Parastacidae.